GACGAACGCUGGCGGUGGGCUUAACACAUGCAAGUCGAACGGCAAGGCCCUGAUUGUGUGGGGUGACCGAGUGGCGAACGGGUGAGUAACACGUGAGCAACCUGCCCUAGAUUUUGGGAUAACUUAAGGAAACUGGGGCUAAUAUCGUAUAGGAGAUCCUGCAGCAUGGUGGGGGUGGGAUAGUCUAGGCGGUUGGGGAUGGAUGCGCGGCUGACGAGUUAGCUGGUGGGCUAGGGGCUGACCAAGGCAUGGACGGAUAGCCGGCCGGGGAGGGUGGCCGGCCACAUUAGUACUGAGGUACGGCCCAGACUCCUACGGUAGGCAGCAGUGGGGAAUAUUGCACAAUGGGCGGGAGCGUGUGACAACAACGCCGCGUGCGGGAUGACGGCCUGCGGGUUGAAAACCGCAUUCGCCUAUUACGAAGCGUGAGUGACGGUAAUGGGUAAAGAAGCACCGGCUAACUUCGUG
This 468-nucleotide ribosomal RNA is filed under the name uncultured bacterium. RNAcentral describes it as "partial 16S ribosomal RNA". It matches the Rfam family "Bacterial small subunit ribosomal RNA", at positions 28 to 507 of the family's 1533-position model. The record is from RNAcentral.